GUUGCGCCUUCCAUCACAACUCUCUUAUCACGCCGUUCUCUCGCCUUCCAUCUCAGCCGUUCUCUCGCCUUCCAUCACAGCUCUCUCAUCACAGUCUCGCCCUUCCAUCACCGGUCGCACCCUUCCAUCACCGGUCAACGAUUCGAACUUCUUCAAGUGAAAGCUUGAACCAUCACUCUCUCUGUCUUCCUAUUCCCAACCCAACCAUUCCUAUUCUAGACAUUAUCUAAGUAGAUUUUGAAGCAAUUCGGCUUCGAGUGCGUAGGGGAAGAAGUGCCGUCAUCAAGCCAGGAAUGCGGAAACAGCCAAAGCAGUACACAAGAUCAGUGUGACCACUAUAAUUCAGCCUUUGUCUCAGUUUCCUUCGCAUUAGCAAUCAAGAAGGGGAUAACUCGCAUUUGAUUAGCUAAUAUUCUUUGAAGGAAGGAAAAAUAAUAAGCUGACAAUGAAACGAACGGUUAGUGAAGUGGAAAAAGUGAGUGAACAAAAUACUGAAGCUUCAACUUCAAAAUCAUCCCAACCACUACCGAAGAAGAGAAGGGGCCCGACACGAUGCA
Long non-coding RNA from Cornus florida, 557 nucleotides. RefSeq lists it as uncharacterized. The record is from RefSeq and is a predicted model, not a curated record. The transcript has 3 exons. Lineage: Eukaryota; Viridiplantae; Streptophyta; Magnoliopsida; Cornales; Cornaceae.